ACCCGCUGAAUUUAAGCAUAUAAGUAAGUGGUGGAAAUUAAACCAAAUGGGAUUCCUUAAGUAAUUGCGAAUGAACAAGGACAUGCUUAGCUUGACAAUUGGAGCCUCUGGCUUCGACUUGUAUUUUUGAAAUGUAUUACCAACAGAGGUGCAGGUGUCAGCCUAUUGAAAGAAAGCGUCAAUGAGGGUGAGAAUCCUGUUUGUCAUGUGCAAUCCUCUGUGCACGGUGUAUGUUUGCUGAGUCACACUCCUUGGCAUUGGAAUGCAAAGUGGGUGGUAAGUUUCAUGUAAAGGUAAAUAUAGGAUUGAGACUGAUAGCACACAAGUACCAUGAGGGAAAUAUGAAAAGGACUUUGAAAAGAGAAUUAAAUGAGUUUGUAUUUGCUGAACAGAAAAUAAACAGAUUUGAUGUUGCUUGGUGAGAUUGUGGUGCUUGCUUGACAAUAGGUUUUGAUUGUGGGUGUGAUGAUUCUUGCUUUGCUUGCCAGUUUCUAUUUGUACAUUUGAUUACCCUUGCACAUGAAUGGUAAUUUUCCUGCGGGGUUUGGAUUGCAUGUGUUUGUGAUGAUUUGUGUUUUGAUACAUGUGUCUGGUGCUUUUGUAAUUGCUCAUUUCUUGAAGCUGGGCCUACCCUACUAGAGCUUACAAGCCCUGGCACACAAUUGCUGGCAAAAUGCUUCUGCUUGACCCGUCUUGAAACACGGACCAAGGAGUCUAACAGAUGUGCAAGCUUGAGGGUUGCAUACCUUUGUGCGCAAUGAAAGUGUUGGCUGGGAUAUUUGCACCAGCAGCCGACCAAUUAGCAGACAGAGGUUCGAGUUGGAGCAUAUCUAUUAGGACCCGAAAGAUGGUGAACUAUGCCUGGACAGAAUGAAUUCAGAGGAAACUCUGAUGGAGGUUCGUAUCGAUACUGACGUGCAAAUCGUUCGUCAUAUUUGGGUAUAGGGGCGAAAGACUAAUCGAACCAUCUAGUAGCUGGUUCCCUCCGAAGUUUCCCUCAGGAUAGCUGGAGUUGCACAGUUUUAUCAGGUAAAGCGAAUGAUUAGAGGAAUUGGGGACACAUUUGUCCUUGACCUAUUCUCAAACUUUAAAUGGGUAAUCUGUAGUGGUUGCUUUAUGGAACAUCUGAAAUGAAUGGCAAUAUUGGGUGGGCCAUUUUUGGUAAGCAGAACUGGCGAUGAGGGAUGAACCUAAUGUGGGGUUAAGGUGCUUAAUUACUUGCUCAUUUGAUACCAGAAAGGGUGUUGGUUCAUUUUAACAGCAGGACGGUGGUCAUGGAAGUCGAAAUCCGCUAAGGAGUGUGUAACAACUCACCUGCCGAAUGGACUAGCCCCGAAAAUGGAUGGCGCUCAAGCGGGUGACUGAUACCCAACCACUGUUUCAAACAUAUCAGUGUGUAGGAGGGCAUGGUGGUUUGUGACACAGCCUUUGGUGUAAACCUGGGUGAAACAGCUUCUAGUGCAGAUCUUGGUGGUAGUAGC
Molecule: ribosomal RNA, 1481 nt
Filed under: Alexandrium affine
Lineage: Eukaryota; Dinophyceae; Gonyaulacales; Pyrocystaceae
Description: partial large subunit ribosomal RNA
Rfam family: Eukaryotic large subunit ribosomal RNA
Source: RNAcentral